GCAAGUCGAACGAACAAAGUUGGAGCUUGCUUCAGAGGCGUUAGUGGCAAACGGGUGAGUAACACGUGUGUAUCUACCCAUCAGUACGGAAUAACAUUUGGAAACAGGUGCUAAUACCGUAUAUUCGCUACGGAGGAAAGAUUUAUCGCUGAUGGAUGAGCACGCGUAAGAUUAGGUAGUUGGUAGGGUAAUGGCCUACCAAGCCGACGAUCUUUAGCUGGUCUGAGAGGAUGAUC
Molecule: ribosomal RNA, 236 nt
Filed under: uncultured bacterium
Lineage: Bacteria
Description: partial 16S ribosomal RNA
Rfam family: Bacterial small subunit ribosomal RNA
Source: RNAcentral